This 1372-nucleotide ribosomal RNA is filed under the name uncultured bacterium. RNAcentral's name for it is "bacterial SSU rRNA". It matches the Rfam family "Bacterial small subunit ribosomal RNA", at positions 28 to 1381 of the family's 1533-position model. The record is from RNAcentral.
GAUGAACUUUGGCGGCGUGCCUAAUACAUGCAAGUCGAGCGAACGGACGAGAAGCUUGCUUCUCUGAUGUUAGCGGCGGACGGGUGAGUAACACGUGGAUAACCUACCUAUAAGACUGGGAUAACUUCGGGAAACCGGAGCUAAUACCGGAUAAUAUUUUGAACCGCAUGGUUCAAAAGUGAAAGACGGUCUUGCUGUCACUUAUAGAUGGAUCCGCGCUGCAUUAGCUAGUUGGUAAGGUAACGGCUUACCAAGGCAACGAUGCAUAGCCGACCUGAGAGGGUGAUCGGCCACACUGGAACUGAGACACGGUCCAGACUCCUACGGGAGGCAGCAGUAGGGAAUCUUCCGCAAUGGGCGAAAGCCUGACGGAGCAACGCCGCGUGAGUGAUGAAGGUCUUCGGAUCGUAAAACUCUGUUAUUAGGGAAGAACAUAUGUGUAAGUAACUGUGCACAUCUUGACGGUACCUAAUCAGAAAGCCACGGCUAACUACGUGCCAGCAGCCGCGGUAAUACGUAGGUGGCAAGCGUUAUCCGGAAUUAUUGGGCGUAAAGCGCGCGUAGGCGGUUUUUUAAGUCUGAUGUGAAAGCCCACGGCUCAACCGUGGAGGGUCAUUGGAAACUGGAAAACUUGAGUGCAGAAGAGGAAAGUGGAAUUCCAUGUGUAGCGGUGAAAUGCGCAGAGAUAUGGAGGAACACCAGUGGCGAAGGCGACUUUCUGGUCUGUAACUGACGCUGAUGUGCGAAAGCGUGGGGAUCAAACAGGAUUAGAUACCCUGGUAGUCCACGCCGUAAACGAUGAGUGCUAAGUGUUAGGGGGUUUCCGCCCCUUAGUGCUGCAGCUAACGCAUUAAGCACUCCGCCUGGGGAGUACGACCGCAAGGUUGAAACUCAAAGGAAUUGACGGGGACCCGCACAAGCGGUGGAGCAUGUGGUUUAAUUCGAAGCAACGCGAAGAACCUUACCAAAUCUUGACAUCCUUUGACAACUCUAGAGAUAGAGCCUUCCCCUUCGGGGGACAAAGUGACAGGUGGUGCAUGGUUGUCGUCAGCUCAUGUCGUGAGAUGUUGGGUUAAGUCCCGCAACGAGCGCAACCCUUAAGCUUAGUUGCCAUCAUUAAGUUGGGCACUCUAAGUUGACUGCCGGUGACAAACCGGAGGAAGGUGGGGAUGACGUCAAAUCAUCAUGCCCCUUAUGAUUUGGGCUACACACGUGCUACAAUGGACAAUACAAAGGGCAGCGAAACCGCGAGGUCAAGCAAAUCCCAUAAAGUUGUUCUCAGUUCGGAUUGUAGUCUGCAACUCGACUACAUGAAGCUGGAAUCGCUAGUAAUCGUAGAUCAGCAUGCUACGGUGAAUACGUUCCCGGGUCU